GUCAAACACCAAGACGGUAUGGUCCACAGUGUCAAACACCAAGACGGUAUGGUCCACAGUGUCAAACACCAAGACGGUCUGGUCCCCAGUGUCAAACACCAAGACGGUCUGGUUCUGGUCAUAGUCACAUCCUGAUUCAGAAGACAGUCUGAUUUCAGGUCAUAGUCACACCCUGAUUCAGAAGGCAGUAUUCUGAUUUCAGGUCAUAGUCACACCCUGAUUCAGAAGGCAGUAUUCUGAUUUCAGGUCAUAGUCACACCCUGAUUCAGAAGGCAGUAUUCUGAUUUCAGGUCAUAGUCACACCCUGAUUCAGAAGGCAGUAUUUGGAUUUCAGGUCAUAGCCACACCCUGAUUCAGAAGGCGGUGUUAAAAGCCCUCCAAUCAUCAGCUGAAUUAGAUCGUCUUGCUUUAGCCCACACUGCUUUCCGUUUCCUUCUGAUUUCAGCCAGUUCAUCAGAGAACCAUCCCUUCAUUCUGUAUUGGUGGCUUGUAAAUGUGAACUUUGUAGAGGUGUGGAGUGUCAGGGGUUCUAUGUACAGUGGACCAGGACAGGGGACCAGGACAGGGGUACAGGGGACCAGGACAGGGGUACAGGGGACCAGGACAGGGGUACAGGGGAACAGCACAGGGGUACAGGGGAACAGGACAGGGGUACAGGGGCCCAGGACAGGGGUACAGGGGCCCAGGACAGGGGUACAGGGGCCCAGCACAGGGGUACAGGGGAAC
Molecule: long non-coding RNA, 726 nt
Organism: Oncorhynchus tshawytscha (Chinook salmon)
Lineage: Eukaryota; Metazoa; Chordata; Actinopteri; Salmoniformes; Salmonidae
Source: Ensembl